RNAcentral lists this transfer RNA (72 nucleotides) under Ovis aries (sheep). It matches the Rfam family "tRNA". From Rfam's summary of the family: Transfer RNA (tRNA) molecules are approximately 80 nucleotides in length. Their secondary structure includes four short double-helical elements and three loops (D, anti-codon, and T loops). The record is from Rfam by way of RNAcentral. Lineage: Eukaryota; Metazoa; Chordata; Mammalia; Artiodactyla; Bovidae.
UCCGAGGUGGCUCAGUGGUAAAGAAUCUGUCUGCCAAUGCAGAAGGCCCAGGUUUGAUCCCUGGAUUGGGAA